Molecule: ribosomal RNA, 253 nt
Filed under: uncultured bacterium
Lineage: Bacteria
Description: partial 16S ribosomal RNA
Rfam family: Bacterial small subunit ribosomal RNA
Source: RNAcentral
GACGAACCGUGCAAACGUUGUUCGGAUUCACUGGGCUUAAAGGGCGCGUAGGCGGACGACCAAGUCAGGGGUGAAAGCCCCCAGCUCAACUGGGGAAGUGCCUUUGAUACUGGUCGUCUCGAGGGAGGUAGGGGCGUGCGGAACUUCCGGUGGAGCGGUGAAAUGCGUAGAUAUCGGAAGGAACGCCGGUGGCGAAAGCGGCGCGCUGGACCUCUUCUGACGCUGAGGCGCGAAAGCUAGGGGAGCAAACGGG